UACGGGGGGAGCAAGCGUUGUUCGGAUUUACUGGGCGUAAAGCGCGCGUAGGCGGACCUGCAAGUCGGGGGUGAAAGCCCGAGGCUCAACCUCGGAACUGCCUUCGAUACUGCGGGUCUCGAGUCCGGGAGAGGUGAGUGGAAUUCCUAGUGUAGAGGUGAAAUUCGUAGAUAUUAGGAAGAACACCAGUGGCGAAGGCGGCUCACUGGCCCGGUACUGACGCUGAGGCGCGAAAGCGUGGGGAGCAAACAGG
This 253-nucleotide ribosomal RNA is filed under the name uncultured bacterium. RNAcentral's name for it is "partial 16S ribosomal RNA". It matches the Rfam family "Bacterial small subunit ribosomal RNA", at positions 524 to 776 of the family's 1533-position model. The record is from RNAcentral.